Small nuclear RNA from Diceros bicornis minor, 105 nucleotides. NCBI's taxonomy places the organism in Eukaryota, Metazoa, Chordata, Mammalia, Perissodactyla, Rhinocerotidae. The record is from RefSeq and is a predicted model, not a curated record.
GCUUGCUUUGGCAACACAUAUACUGAAAUUGGAACAAUACAGAGAAGAUUAGCACAGCCCCUGAGCAACGAUGACAGGCAAAUUCAUGAAGUGUUCCAUAUUUUU